UUCAAAAGAACAAUCUUUGGCCAACACUCAGAAGUGACAGAAAUAGACUGUUGUCUCACUGCCUGAUUAAAAUGGAAAAGCUGAAGGUUUUCCAAAAGGAAACAAGAGGAGGCUAAGAGUCUAGACCGGCCACUCAGAAGUGUGUGUGCGAGACCGAGCAUCGGCGGGUGUGGGCUUUGUGCGGACAACGUCUGUGUCUGGGUGUGUGCCCAAGGAGGCCAGAAGAGGGCGUCAGAUCCCCUGGAACUGGAGUUACCGAUAACUGUGAGCGGUCAUGUGGGUGCUAAGAUUCGAACAUGCUGUUCCAGAGCAGCACGUGCUCCUAACCACUGAACCAUCUCUCCAGACCCCCAUUUUGAUUUUAAGGUAAGCCUUGGCUACAUAGCCAGUUUGGGGCCAGAAUGGGCUACAUGAUAUCCUAUCUCAAAUAAAUAGUCUGGGGUUACAGUUCA
Long non-coding RNA from Peromyscus californicus insignis, 452 nucleotides. RefSeq lists it as uncharacterized. The record is from RefSeq and is a predicted model, not a curated record. The transcript has 2 exons. Lineage: Eukaryota; Metazoa; Chordata; Mammalia; Rodentia; Cricetidae.